Molecule: long non-coding RNA, 1032 nt
Organism: Fundulus heteroclitus (mummichog)
Lineage: Eukaryota; Metazoa; Chordata; Actinopteri; Cyprinodontiformes; Fundulidae
Exons: 3
Source: RefSeq, a predicted model, not a curated record
AACAUGCGUAAGGAAGGAUGCAAUCCACAGAUGAGAGACAGUGUCCUCUGUGCACCGCUGUGGUCCCUGGCAGGAAGUAAAUCAGCCAAGGAGCCGCCUGAGACCAAACACUGCGAGGAACUCUGGAGCCUGGAGGCGUGUGGGAGGUGUACACAGAACUCACGGGCCACAGUCUGCUUGUUACUUCCUGGUCAAGGUCUCAGGGAAGGGUGCUGGUGCCCAGUCAGGGGGUGAGAAGUGGGACACGCCCUGGAGACACAGGACAGACAACCGUCCACGCACACAUUCAUGCCUGAGGACAGAUUUUUAGAAACAAUUAACCUUACAGUUGAACUGUGAGAGGAAGGCAGAGUACCCAGAGAGAAUCCCCCAAUUGUGCAGGGAGAACAAGAAGACGUUCUAACAGCUGCUCAACCGUGCAUGUUUUUCUAUGAGAAUUUCCAUCAUAUGCAAAGAGUCUAUUAGAAACUGGGUUUCAUAGUCAUCUCAUAGGAUUUAAGGAAGUUUUCUUUUGAAUUUUGCUCAUUUGCUUUAAAUCCAUCGAGUCAAAAAUUGAAAAAUGACACGGACGAACAAACAAACUGAGUUAUUGCAACAGUUUGGCCAUCUUGAAGUCUGUGUAUGUACUGUAGAUUUGAGCAAGAAGUGCAUUGCGUAACAACUCAAACUCGGCAUUUGGCCAAUUCAAAUAAAGCAUCAAAACUCCAGCAGGCUUUCUUUGACUUUAGCUCACAUUUUACCUCUCACCUUACAAAAUUAUGUCCAACAAAAGAGCCGUCUGGUCCAGCCGACAUAUAAAUGGCUGCCUGCUUAUAGUCAGCAUUUUACAUUGGUCACAGGAAGUCAUCUUAAAGGAACCGUACAGUUUCUGAGCUGCUGAUCACUAAUAGAUUCAAAAUCUAGUUGAAACAUAUACCAAAAAAUAAUCCAUGCAGUCCCUCUCCACUUACAAUGACAGGAGCAGCAAAAGAAAGGAUUUCAGAAACACCUUAAAAUGUAUGUAUUGUAUUCACCUCCGUUUAUAUAAAAGCA